RNAcentral lists this ribosomal RNA (459 nucleotides) under uncultured bacterium. Its description in RNAcentral is "partial 16S ribosomal RNA". It matches the Rfam family "Bacterial small subunit ribosomal RNA", at positions 338 to 795 of the family's 1533-position model. The record is from RNAcentral.
CCUACGGGUGGCAGCAGUGAGGAAUAUUGGUCAAUGGGCGGAAGCCUGAACCAGCCAAGUAGCGUGCGGGAUGAAGGCCCUACGGGUCGUAAACCGCUUUUGCACGGGGAUAACACCCUCCACUUGUGGAGGUCUGCAGGUACCGUGCGAAUAAGGGCCGGCUAAUUCCGUGCCAGCAGCCGCGGUAAUACGGAAGGCCCGAGCGUUAUCCGGAUUCAUUGGGCUUAAAGGGAGCGUAGGCGGGCGUUCAAGUCAGCUGUAAAAUCGCGCGGCUCAACCGCGCCCCGCAGUUGAAACUGGACGCCUUGAGUUCACAACAGGCAGGCGGAAUUCGUGGUGUAGCGGUGAAAUGCAUAGAGAUCAAGAGGAAUACUCAUUGCGAAGGCGACCUGCUAGAACAUAACUGACGCUGAUGCGCGAAAGCGUGGGGAGCAAACAGGAUUAGAUACCCUUGUAGUC